GACCCGUUAGCUCAGUCGGCAGAGCUCCUGCCUUUAAGCAGGGAGUCCCGGGUUCGAGUCCCGGACGGGUCACCA
Molecule: transfer RNA, 75 nt
Filed under: Methylomirabilis sp. (SeqCode)
Lineage: Bacteria; Methylomirabilota (SeqCode); Methylomirabilia (SeqCode); Methylomirabilales (SeqCode); Methylomirabilaceae (SeqCode)
Description: tRNA-OTHER
Rfam family: tRNA
About the family: Transfer RNA (tRNA) molecules are approximately 80 nucleotides in length.
Source: RNAcentral